GGUAGCUUGCUAUCCGGGUGGCGAGUGGCGGACGGGUGAGUAACGCGUAGGAAUCUACCUUUUCGUGGGGGAUAACCCGGGGAAACUCGGGCUAAUACCGCAUACGCCCUACGGGGGAAAGCGGGGGACCUUCGGGCCUCGCGCGGAACGAUGAGCCUGCGUCCUAUCAGGUAGUUGGUGAGGUAAUGGCUCACCAAGCCGACGACGGGUAGCUGGUCUGAGAGGACGACCAGCCACACUGGGGCUGAGACACGGCCCAGACUCCUACGGGAGGCAGCAGUGGGGAAUAUUGGACAAUGGGGGAAACCCUGAUCCAGCAAUACCGCGUGUGUGAAGAAGGCCUUCGGGUUGUAAAGCACUUUUAGCAGGAAAGAAAGACUAUGCGCUAAUACCGCACGGUUUUGACGUUACUUGCAGAAAAAGCACCGGCUAACUCCGUGCCAGCAGCCGCGGUGAUACGGAGGGUGCAAGCGUUAAUCGGAAUUACUGGGCGUAAAGCGCGCGUAGGCGGCUUGUUAAGUCGGAUGUGAAAUCCCCGGGCUCAACCUGGGAACUGCAUUCGAUACUGGCUGGCUAGAGUGUGGUAGAGGGAAGUGGAAUUCCAGGUGUAGCGGUGAAAUGCGUAGAUAUCUGGGGGAACAUCAGUGGCGAAGGCGGCUUCCUGGACCAACACUGACGCUGAGGCGCGAAAGCGUGGGGAGCAAACAGGAUUAGAUACCCUGGUAGUCCACGCCGUAAACGAUGUCAACUAGCCGUAGGGAGCAUCUGGCUCUUUGUGGCGCAGCUAACGCGAUAAGUUGACCGCCUGGGGAGUACGGCCGCAAGGCUAAAACUCAAAUGAAUUGACGGGGGCCCGCACAAGCGGUGGAGCAUGUGGUUUAAUUCGAUGCAACGCGAAAAACCUUACC
Molecule: ribosomal RNA, 908 nt
Filed under: uncultured bacterium
Lineage: Bacteria
Description: bacterial SSU rRNA
Rfam family: Bacterial small subunit ribosomal RNA
Source: RNAcentral